AUUGAACGCUGGCGGCAGGCCUAACACAUGCAAGUCGAGCGGAUGAAGGGAGCUUGCUCCUGGAUUCAGCGGCGGACGGGUGAGUAAUGCCUAGGAAUCUGCCUGGUAGUGGGGGAUAACGUCCGGAAACGGGCGCUAAUACCGCAUACGUCCUGAGGGAGAAAGUGGGGGAUCUUCGGACCUCACGCUAUCAGAUGAGCCUAGGUCGGAUUAGCUAGUGGGUGGGGUAAAGGCCUACCAAGGCGACGAUCCGUAACUGGUCUGAGAGGAUGAUCAGUCACACUGGAACUGAGACACGGUCCAGACUCCUACGGGAGGCAGCAGUGGGGAAUAUUGGACGAUGGGCGAAAGCCUGAUCCAGCCAUACCGCGUGUGUGAAGAAGGUCUUCGGAUUGUAGAGCACUUUAAGUUGGGAGGAAGGGAAGUAAGUUAAUACCUUGCUGUUUUGACGUUACCAACAGAAUAAGCACCGGCUAACUUCGUG
This 484-nucleotide ribosomal RNA is filed under the name uncultured bacterium. RNAcentral's name for it is "partial 16S ribosomal RNA". It matches the Rfam family "Bacterial small subunit ribosomal RNA", at positions 30 to 507 of the family's 1533-position model. The record is from RNAcentral.